AUGGGUGACGGUGGCCCUGAACGGUGGCGGCGCUCGCGGGGGCGGCCGCCGGCGGCGACAUCGCAGGACAUCAACGCGCCUAAGAUCCGUGGCUGCGCGAACGACUUCAUGCUCAUACUGGAAAGGGGGCCUGGGGGUGUGUUUCUCAUUCAGAUCAAGGUGAUUUCUUGGCGUCCAGAUGGAUAUAUGCAGCACAUCUCGGGACCUCUGCAUGCCGAGACGAUGACAGGUUUGAGGGCAGCAGAAGUGAGUGCUGAAUUUGGCCCACACAGGGUGGUACCUGAAUCUGACUCCAAGGUCCUUGUCCAAGCUCUGAACUCUGAUGAUUACGACCGGGCCACGAUUGGCGUCCUGUUACACGAGACGCAUAGUGUAUGUCAUGCAAACUUUGAGCCAUUUAGUUUCAAUUUUUGUAAAAGGGAUUGUAAUAAGGUGUCCCAUGAACUAGCCGCAUUUGGCUUCAGGGCAAGAGCUGCUGAUCUUUCGUGGAUCGAGUAG
Molecule: ribosomal RNA, 498 nt
Filed under: Triticum aestivum (bread wheat)
Lineage: Eukaryota; Viridiplantae; Streptophyta; Magnoliopsida; Poales; Poaceae
Description: partial small subunit ribosomal RNA
Source: RNAcentral